ACUCCUACGGGAGGCAGCAGUAGGGAAUUUUCCGCAAUGGACGAAAGUCUGACGGAGCAACGCCGCGUGAGUGAUGAAGGUUUUCGGAUCGUAAAACUCUGUUGUUAGGGAAGAACAAGUACCGGAGUAACUGCCGGUACCUUGACGGUACCUAACCAGAAAGCCACGGCUAACUACGUGCCAGCAGCCGCGGUAAUACGUAGGUGGCAAGCGUUGUCCGGAAUUAUUGGGCGUAAAGCGCGCGCAGGUGGUUUCUUAAGUCUGAUGUGAAAGCCCCGGCUCAACCGGGGAGGGUCAUUGGAAACUGGGAGACUUGAGUGCAGAAGAGGAAAGUGGAAUUCCAAGUGUAGCGGUGAAAUGCGUAGAGAUUUGGAGGAACACCAGUGGCGAAGGCGACUUCUGGUCUGUAACUGACACUGAGGCGCGAAAGCGUGGGGAGCGAACAGGAUUAGAUA
This 455-nucleotide ribosomal RNA is filed under the name uncultured bacterium. RNAcentral's name for it is "bacterial SSU rRNA". It matches the Rfam family "Bacterial small subunit ribosomal RNA", at positions 335 to 784 of the family's 1533-position model. The record is from RNAcentral.